Long non-coding RNA from Nelumbo nucifera (sacred lotus), 1127 nucleotides. RefSeq lists it as uncharacterized. Lineage: Eukaryota; Viridiplantae; Streptophyta; Magnoliopsida; Proteales; Nelumbonaceae. The record is from RefSeq and is a predicted model, not a curated record.
UAGACCAAAAGAUAGGACCUCAAAAAAGACUCUAAAAGCCAAAGUGGUCUAGAUUUGAAAAGCUCCAACUGAAACUUAUGGUCUAUUCGGGCUUCUCAGCUUCCAAUACAUUUGACAAAAAUUGGAAAAGUGGUCAAUCGAAACUCCCUUUGUUCUCCAUUUUGAUCGACAAGAGAAACUCUGCCUCCAGCAACUAGCGACUGAGAAGCACCGAUGCAGUCUUAACACAAAGCAUGGGUUGGUGGAGCCAGACUUAAAUGAUGACAACUCCAUGUGGCAGAGGUUCAUUGAGAGUGAAGUAGAUGCUCUAAGUGGAAGUUUGGCCACAGGCGGCAAUACUAGUUGAUACGCAAUAUGGAUGGAAUGGUUGAGUCAAAGCAAAUGAGAAGAGUGGUACAUUUUUGGAUCAUCAAUAUUUAUGGCAAGCCAAUCUGCAGUCUUGAGCUGUGUAUGUUGAAGCUUUCAGAUGAACCCGUGGUGCAGUCUUGAGCUGUGUCUGUACCUGGGGCAUGGAUGGAAUGGUUGAGUCAAACCAUAUGGGAAGAGUGGAGAAGGUGAUUUAGAUGGUGCAAUGGAGAAUUUUGUGGAGUCAGCAAGAUGGAGAAGAGCGCUGAAGAUUGAAGCCAAAGAUUUUCUCUUUGAGGAAAUGAGAAUCAGAGGAAGACCGACUUGAAGAUCAGAGAGAAGAAGAUGGUUAUGGUGUUGCUAGUAGGUAAAGAGAGUAUUGAAUGGUUCGAAAAAGCUUUGUGACAGGAGCUAUAUCCUGUCAGAAAUCUAUCUGGAAGGACAUGAAGGUGAAGAAGAUAGGAGGCAUGUAGUAGAGCGUAAGAGGAAUACAAAAGGUUUGUUCAUAGCACUUCACGAGUUCUUUAGUAAUGGAAGAAAACAGGUAGAGUGCUUUCCAGAAGGAAGAAAGGGCUGUGGUUGGAAAGAAGUGUUUGCACUGCUCUUGGACUUGUCGAAGAGAUCAAACAAAGAGCAGGUAGGGGCUGUUGAAGAGAUAGAAGAAGUCAACCAGAACCAUGGUAGUGGUAAGGAGGAGGCACCCUGUCAGGAGUUUGUAUCCAUGGAACAAAAUAAUGAUAAUCACAAGUUGGAGAUUAAUUUUGGCGCAGAAAAUUGGGGGG